This 779-nucleotide ribosomal RNA is filed under the name Harringtonia lauricola. RNAcentral describes it as "Raffaelea lauricola partial large subunit ribosomal RNA". It matches the Rfam family "Eukaryotic large subunit ribosomal RNA", at positions 106 to 908 of the family's 3401-position model. The record is from RNAcentral. Lineage: Eukaryota; Fungi; Ascomycota; Sordariomycetes; Ophiostomatales; Ophiostomataceae.
AGCUCAAAUUUGAAAUCUGGCCCCCCGCGGGCCCGAGUUGUACUUUGGAGAGGACGCUUCUGGCGCGGCGCCGUCCGAGUUCCCUGGAACGGGACGCCGGAGAGGGUGAGAGCCCCGUACGGGCGGCCGCCUAGCCUCUGCGAAGCUCCUUCGACGAGUCGAGUAGUUUGGGAAUGCUGCUCAAAAUGGGAGGUAAAUUUCUUCUAAAGCUAAAUACCGGCCAGAGACCGAUAGCGCACAAGUAGAGUGAUCGAAAGAUGAAAAGCACUUUGAAAAGAGGGUCAAACAGUACGUGAAAUUGUUGAAAGGGAAGCGCCUGUGGCCAGACUUGCGCCCCGCGGACCACCCGGCGCCUCGCGCGCCGGGGCACGCCAGCGGGGCGCAGGCCAGCAUCGGCUCUCUCGGGGGGACAAAGGCCGCGGGAACGUAGCGCCCUCGCGGCGUAUUAUAGCCCGCGGCGCCAUGCCCCCGGGGGGGCCGAGGACCGCGCUCCGGCAAGGAUGCUGGCGUAAUGGCCACCGGCGACCCGUCUUGAAACACGGACCAAGGAGUCAAGCAUUGGGGCGAGUGUCUGGGUGGCAAGCCCGCACGCGGAAUGAAAGUGAACGCAGGUGGGAGCUUCGGCGCACCACCGACCGAUCCUGAUGUCCUCGGAUGGAUUUGAGUAGGAGCCCCGCCGCUUGGACCCGAAAGAUGGUGAACUAUGCCUGUAUAGGGUGAAGCCAGAGGAAACUCUGGUGGAGGCCCGCAGCGGUUCUGACGUGCAAAUCGAUCGUCAA